ACGGGAGGCAGCAGUGGGGAAUAUUGGACAAUGGGGGAAACCCUGAUCCAGCGACGCCGCGUGAGUGAAGAAGUAUUUCGGUAUGUAAAGCUCUAUCAGCAGGGAGGAUAAUGACGGUACCUGACUAAGAAGCCCCGGCUAACUACGUGCCAGCAGCCGCGGUAAUACGUAGGGGGCAAGCGUUAUCCGGAUUUGCUGGGUGUAAAGGGAGCGUAGACGGCAAGGCAAGUCUGAUGUGAAAACCCAGGGCUCAACCGUGGGACUGCAUUGGAGACUGUCUAGCUAGAGUGCAGGAGAGGUAAGUGGAAUUCCUAGUGUAGCGGUGAAAUGCGUAGGUAUUAGGAGGAACACCAGUGGCGAAGGCGGCUUACUGGACUGUAACUGACGUUGAGGCUCGAAAGCGUGGGGAGCAAACAGGAUUAGAUACCCUGGUA
Molecule: ribosomal RNA, 434 nt
Filed under: uncultured Lachnospiraceae bacterium
Lineage: Bacteria; Bacillati; Bacillota; Clostridia; Lachnospirales; Lachnospiraceae
Description: partial 16S ribosomal RNA
Rfam family: Bacterial small subunit ribosomal RNA
Source: RNAcentral